Callithrix jacchus (white-tufted-ear marmoset) is the source of this 1319-nucleotide long non-coding RNA. RefSeq lists it as uncharacterized. The record is from RefSeq and is a predicted model, not a curated record. NCBI's taxonomy places the organism in Eukaryota, Metazoa, Chordata, Mammalia, Primates, Cebidae.
UAGUGUUCGUGUGUAGGGAUGUGUGGAGAAGAGGGAGGCGAUUUUUAGAGGCGAGAGGGCCCUGUGGCUAAGGGUUGGAGGCCGCUGUUGACAAGGCCUGUGGCUGUGGCAGUUUUGCUCCGGAAGUGGCCAUUCUUCUGGGUAGGACUCCACCAGAGCACCUUUCACUUCCCUUUCACUUCCUGUCAAGAGGCAGCGGGCUUCCAGAAUUGGGGAAGUCCCAGGGGCAGCCUUUGGGUUUGACAGACCUGGACCCAAACCCUUUCUCUUCCCCCAACCCGCUUUGGCAUCUUGGCAAGUGACUGUCUCCAUUUCUGAACAGGAUGUUCGCAGUGGCCUGGAGAUGCUGGGGGUCCUUUCCUUUGUGGAGGUAUCAGUAUCAGAAUGGAGUCACUUAUGUCAAACACUAACAAAAUGGAGGCGGAGGCCAUGAAGAACAAGCCUACGUGAAUACAUGCCUGUAACAGGACUUGUCACAAGGAAUCCCUGCACAUAUGCCUAUGACAAGGACUAUGCCAGGAACUCCUCAAAUAUGCAGGAUUUGAGAUAGACUGGGAACUCCUUGAGGCCCGAGACAACCCGAAGACUCCCAGCUCACCAAAAACUGGCUACAGCAAUCAUUCAGUAACUAUCUGUCGAAUUGGACCUAACAGAAUAGCUGCAGAAUUUUAAGCAAGUCACCAUCAGUGGAUUCCUCAAAGCAAACCCGGAAAUCUCGACAUGAGUCUGAUUUAAGGUAGUCCAUUUUCAGCUCCUCAAAAUGUGAACAGUUUCCCAAGAGAACAGCUUGAAACAGAAAGGGGAGGAUGUAGAUGUGAUUGUAGAAGAUGAUAUCUAAGGCACCAACUGUCCACUGUGAAGAUAAAUCAUGCGUGGCUCGUUGCCAGUGACUCUCCUUCCUGUGGGGAGUCCCACUGCUUCCCUGGCCUGGGAGUUCUCUGCCAGUAGAUGUUAUUGACAAAAUAAGUAAAGUCCCCUGAUUCAGAGAAUGAGAGUUUCUGAAAGCUCUAGAUCGCCUCCGCCACGCUAUUUACACUCCUGCUUUAUUGUCCGAUGCGAGUUCAACAUCUAUGAGGACUUGUCCAGUGCAAGUCCUGAAAGUUAUCACCAGCACAUCCUGUCACUGUGCUGUCGUGAGCUAGGCAGUACAAUGAUGUUGGCAGGACCCUGUUUAGGUGGAAGAUGGCUACCUGGGCAUCAAGAAUCUUCUACUUUGAUUCCACAUUGGUUCCCCAAAGUGAGCUUCAGACAGCUCUUCACUGCAUCUUCUGAUUAAAGCGGCUGACGGGUGUCCCAGCUAGAGAAAAGUCCUGGGAGCA